GACGAACGCUGGCGGCGUGCUUAACACAUGCAAGUCGAACGGAAAGGUCCUGCUUUUGUGGGGCUCUCGAUUGGCGAACGGGGGUGUAACACGCGAGUAACCUGUCCCUGACUGUGGGGUAACUUCAGGAAACUGGGGCGAAUAUCGCGUAGGAUCUCCUGCAGCACGGGGGGGGUUGGAAAGAGUCGGCGGUUGUGGCUGGAUUCGCGGCUUAUGAGCUUGAUGGUGGGGUAGUGGCUUUCCAAGGCUUUGACGGGUAGCCGGCCUGGGAGGGUGACCGGCCACCUUGGGACUGCGAUACGGCCCAGACUCCUACGGGCGGCAGCAGUGGGGAAUCUUGCGCAAUGGGCGGAAGCCUGAUGCGGCAGCGCCGCGUGCGGGAUGCCGGCCUUCGGGUUGUAAACCGCUUUCGCCUGUGACGAAGCGUGAGUGACGGUAAUGGGUCAAAAAGCACCGGCUAACUACGUG
This 468-nucleotide ribosomal RNA is filed under the name uncultured bacterium. RNAcentral describes it as "partial 16S ribosomal RNA". It matches the Rfam family "Bacterial small subunit ribosomal RNA", at positions 28 to 507 of the family's 1533-position model. The record is from RNAcentral.